Molecule: ribosomal RNA, 294 nt
Filed under: Crangonyx hobbsi
Lineage: Eukaryota; Metazoa; Arthropoda; Malacostraca; Amphipoda; Crangonyctidae
Description: partial large subunit ribosomal RNA
Source: RNAcentral
UUUACAGUAUAAGUCUUUUUUUACUUAAAAUUUUAAUUUAUAUUUUUAGUAAGAAUACUAAAAUAAAAAAAAGGGACGAUAAGACCCUGAAAGCUUAAAACGAUAACUAUAAAAAUUUUUAUUUAGAAUUAUAGUGUUGUUAUUAGCUGGGGAAGUUUUUAUAAAAAAACUAUAAUUAAUUAAUACGUUGUUUUUAUGGUUCUUUAUAUAAGGAUAGUUAGAAAAAGUUACUUCAGGGAUAACAGCAUAAUAAUUUUGUAGAGUUCUUAUCGAUAAAAUUGAGUGUGACCUCGA